Pecten maximus is the source of this 418-nucleotide long non-coding RNA. RefSeq lists it as uncharacterized. Lineage: Eukaryota; Metazoa; Mollusca; Bivalvia; Pectinida; Pectinidae. The record is from RefSeq and is a predicted model, not a curated record. The transcript has 3 exons.
UCUUCAAUAUAGUGCUCUAUUUAUAUUUUCAUAUUGUGAGGAUAUAAUAUAUACAUGUAUAAAAUAAAUAUUUGCCCCCCUCCUCUGCUAUUUUUACCGUACUGGUGUCCUGUUGUGAGGCAGCUCUGUGUGAACACACAACUGGGUAAGUGGGUCAGUGGGCCAGGCUUUAUGUACAGUGGGCCAUGUGUGUGCAUACACUAUAGUGGAGAGGUAGAGUUGGUUCAGCCAGCCACCAGUAUAAUAGCUUAGCAGGAAUUAUAUCUCCAACCCAACAACUAUGUAUCAUAGGUGUUCGCUCUGGAGGUUCCUAAAGUACCACACCGACUAGUAGACUGUUAUUUUGUGAGACCAGUCCUGUGCGCCUUCUGUAAAGACUAUAUCUGGGGUCCCGGAAAAGUGGGUAAACGAUGUGAAG